Clupea harengus (Atlantic herring) is the source of this 1745-nucleotide long non-coding RNA. The record is from Ensembl. Lineage: Eukaryota; Metazoa; Chordata; Actinopteri; Clupeiformes; Clupeidae.
UGGGUGAUUAUGCGAUGAAAUGACUGUAUGCACAAAGCCAUCAUUGAGAAGACUUGAAAAUGAUUCAGUGUAUCUCUGACAGAGGAGUUUUGGAUCCAAAAGGUUAGUUGGGGGGAAAAAAACAUAGAUAGGAUGGCCCACACCACAGAAUAGUUGCUAUUCACAUUUAAGAACAUUUGAAAUUCUAAAGAAUGCUUCCUCUAGUUUUAGUUAACCAGUUUAAUUCAUUUUCAUAUAUUUUGCUUUCAUGUCAUCACUAAGUCUAUUUAGCCUUGAAGCCCUUGGAUCUGUUGCUGUAAAAUGAGUCCUCAUCAUGGAUGAACUUGUGUAGCGAACGGGACCUACGUCCACUUAGUAGGGGUAAUUAACACUUCCCUGAAAGGCUGGAGAUAAAAGGAUCUGAGUCCCUAACCCCCAGGCCUACUAGUCUCAAGCCUAACCUGCUCUAAGUAAAACGAAUAUAAUAGUUUAGGCUUCAGGAUUUGUACAUGUCACGGUGAUAACCUAAAGGACAGAAUACAAGCAUAAGUGUCUGUAUGUGCAACUUACCCUGUGUUUCCCCUAACAACCAUACUCUACUGGCAGAGGAUGAGACGCCCCUACUUCAGAGAUGAUCCAAGAACUUCACCGUAUAAGCAAUAGUUAAACAGUUGAAAAUGAGUGGUUAUUUAUUAUACUAAAUCAAUUGAAAUAUUAAAACAAAUACAAGGUACAUGGAAAUAUUGCUGGUUACUCAAAACCACCCUUCAAAGUUCACCCUUCACAGUAGUAGUUCAAACAUGUUACCACUAAUGUUGGCCAACAUACUAAACCUGAGCGUUCAGAUAGGAUAUCAUAUUAAUCUAAAUAAACUUGAAUUAACCCCUUUCAUUCACAGUUGCAAUAUAUUGAAAAGAACUUAUAUAGAAUUUAAACAAUGUAACUUCACAACAAAUUAACAGCAGUCACUAAAUACAUAGACAAAUAAUGUCACUGGCCAGUGUCCUCUCACCAAUAGUUGCUUUAAACAAAAUGGCUUCAGUUUACACAAUCAUAUAAAUAUUAGGUUCCAAGUGGAAGUGUCCUUUGAACAGUCCUAUGAUUCAGUCCAGAGCAAAAUACUCAAUUCUCGUUCAGGAAAAACGGCAAAGUAUCAAAUCAAAUAGGCUAGGCAAAAAUGUCCUGGUCCUAGCAUCAUGUAACAAAGCUCAAAUCAAUUUACAAAAGUUUCCGUCCAGGCAGUUAUCUCUCUCCGUAGCAUUCGCGAGUAACACAAUGGUUUCUCUCCACUAUAGCUUGCUGUUAAAUAACACAAAGUCAGGUUACUUCACCUCAAACCUUCCCUUUAGUUUGCACUCGGUCGCUGGAGCUCUGGAGCAGUCUUUGGAUGGCAGGGAACUGUCGACCUCAGCGGCGGCACGGAUCAAAGGAACAGCGAACACCAACCGCGAUUCUAACUUCUUCCUCUGGCCGGUGCACUGCGCCUCGCUAACUUAUUAACGGCUACACACGCCAAAGGCAAAAAGGCAAUCACUUUGUGUCGCUUAUUUAAAACUAUAAUGUGUAUUAAACUUUAUGGUUCCCUCUUCUAAUUCUGCAGAGUCAGGCAGCUGCACUCACGUUCUCCACGUUCACCGGUCUCAGACUACUUCCUGUUUAGUCUCACCUGCAUUCCAACCUGCUGAUUGGCUAGUGACUACACGUAUAGGACAUUAGUUUAACAGAUAAAGAGGAAAACAAUAUAUGGAUAUCUCGUAUCUGUUACA